AGCCAGGCAGGAGAACCUACUAACCUCUUUAGUUGUUCAACUGCGAAUAUCAAAAUGAGUUAUAUACGUUUCUAGAAAAAUGCUUGCAACGAUUAGCGAACAUUAGCGAGCUGCUAGCAGCAUGAAUCAUGGCACAGGCCGGCUGCAGCUUUAUCUUUCCUGGCUGUGUAUAGCAUAGAUCCCAGGAGGUGCCUGACCCUGUCCCCAUCUCUCCGCUGCCAGCCUGCCAGAACACGCUGCACUAUCUCACACACUGCAUUUAUCCAGUGUACCGAUAAUAGGUUUACACCUGUUCCGUUGUUGCCUCCACUCAGGUCAGGACAGGGAAAAAUCACACUGGAAUACAUGCUGGGACGCUGAAUAUCCUCCUUACAUACAUGGAGUGGGCUACAGUCGCAACACGAGCAGCGUGUCGCCUCGCGGUUACGUGCCCAGCAGCACCCCGCAGCAGUCCAACUACAACACCGUCAGCAACACCAUGAACGGCUAUGGCAAUGCAGGGAAUGCCCAACCUGGGCGUGCCCAGCUCCACCGGGCUUCUUGAACGGCUCCUCAGCAAACUCUCCCUACGGCACUAUGUCCGGACUGGUGGUCCCACCCAUGUAAAUUGCACCCCCUUUCCCUUGUAAAGCAGCCGUCUCCUCAUCGGGACGAAGCGUAGUACGUUAUGUGGAGGAUCCUCCUCGAAGUCGUCAAUUGUCAUGAAGUUAAUCAGCAACUAAUUCUGUUAUUUCACAGGAAAAAGACACUUUGUUUCAAAGAGUUUAUUCGAAAUUGACAUGCAAGCGACUUCGUCAUGAACAAUUUCAUUUUAUUGACUGAAUCUCUUAUCAUAUUUUCACGAUCUCGAAAUGGGAAAAAAAAGAACAAAACGUACCUAUUUUGUAUAAACAUUUCUGGUUUAAUCUUGGCUAUGUCUAGUUCUUGCUAUGUGUGGGAAGAAACAUUGUGGAUAUGCCAUUUGAUGAAAACACUGAUAAAAAAAAAAAUGUGUAAGAAUGUUUCUCUUUCACCGAUGUGCUGCCGCUGCACAUCUUCAUAAUGUGAAUUCAUUUUCCUUUUUUAUUAAUAUUAUUUUUUGUUUCUUCGUUUUGCUUUUUUUUUUUUUUUUUGAUUGUGGUAAUAAAAAGGGGGCCAAUAUAUACAGAGCCAAUAAACUGGAAAUAAUAUAAGAUAUAUGAUUUAUAAAUCAAAAAGAAAGGCAAGGAAGAAGGAACGAUGGGAGGAACCGUGAAAUGGUGAUCUUAUAUUGGUCAGUUCGUUCGGCGGAAAUGAACUUUGUAACUUAUUGUAGGUAGAAGUUGUAACUUUGAUAUUGCAAAAAUUAUUCUCUUGCCUUCAACAAGCACACUAACAGAGACGAAGCGCUACUGUCUGUUGGUUAAAAAAGAAAAAGAAAAAAAGAAAAAAAAAAGAAAGAAAAUAUUUCCACUGCUAAAGCUUCCUGUAAAGCAAGUGUGAUCUGCGAUGUUUUUCAACUUUUUUGCUAGCACUGUAUACUAUUGCAUUCUUAGGCUACUGUGAAGUCUGUUUCUUGUACCAGAAAGUUGUCCUUAUACCCUCUAGCUCCUUACUCCCUAAUGUGUUUUGUAUGUGGUUAUACAAUUGUAGACUUUUGUGAUUUUGCCAAAGUUGUAGCUAAAUAUUUAUACACUUGUCUUGAAUUUUCCAGAAUCACUUAAAUAUUUAGUACAGAGUUUUAUUCCUACAGUUAGGAGUAAAAUUGUCUUAUACAUUGCAACACUUUCACACAAACACUUGCGGUCACUAAGGGAAUUUUUUGUAACAUACCAAUUAUAAAUAUUGUAUUUAUCUUUGAAAUUUUGUAUAUUGCUUUCCAUCAUUUUCUUUGAUCUCACCUGUAUUGUUUUCCAUGGUCGAAAUUACAAUGAAGGUUUAGCCAAGAAUCAUCGCCUCCAUUCGAUGUUUUGUACCGAUAGAUCUGUGCAUUUCAUUUGUAAUUCAGAAUUUUUUUAUGCCAUCAGACCUUCCGUCCAUUUUGUUUGUUUGUUUGUUUGUUUAUUUGCUAUUUCGAGGAGCAGUCAAAACCAUUGUUUAUUUUUAUAUUAAUUUUUAAGUUAUCUAAAAAAAGUACUUUUUUGAAAGAAAACUGUUUGUUGUAUAGUCAAAUAAAUUGUUUGUGUCACCUGGCUGUAAUAAUAUUAGUAGAUAAAGUGCAUGUCAAGCGCCCCAGGGGGGAAAAUCCAAUUGUGGUUGUAAAUUUUGUUUUUGUAGAAUGUAAAAAGUCAUUUUUACCUGCCACCAUGACUUUGCCACAUAACUGAACCAUGUUUACAGGGAUCAAGAAGGAAAAAAAGGAAAGAAAAAAUUAUCUGCAAUGGAAAUAUACAUCAGUUACUAAUGUUUAUUAAAAUAUGUCAGAAAAAAGCUCUGUCAAAGGCUUUCCAGUGAAUCUCCUGAGAGGAACCUUUCUGCUGUUUUAAUGACAAACGUACACCACAGUGAAUCUCAUUAUUCCAUUCAGAUCAAUGGUGUAAAAAGCACAAACAUUUUUUACUAAAAUAAAAAAUAAUUAUUGUGACCCCUCAUCUUUUUGGACUAUUUUGUCAGCUUGUCUUUUUUAACAUUAAUUUUUACCCUAUUCCCUCAAGUAAAACAGCAUUCAAAGGGAAUGAAAACAAAUGAAAAGUUAGUUUUUGUAUCAUAUAUGGUCAACAAAGAUGAAGAUGUUCUAUAUUGUAAAUGUCAUUUUGUAAGUAACUCAUGACACCGUAGCAUAACCGAAAUCAUAUCACUUUCUUACACUUUUUUUUUCUCUCAAUGACAUUGAUUUUCCGAGUUGUGCCAAAAUCCGCAAAUGAACCCUAUCCAAGGCUUUCAUUUUGAGCUCUUUUUCUUUGCACUUCAGGGCUUUUGUAAAUGCUGUAAUGUUCAGCAGUGUGCUACACUUUCUGUUUCAAACCAAAAGCGGAUGUUUCCUCUUGGCAAUCGGCACAAGUUUCCUUUAGCUGCAGGAAGCAAAGGCAGCUGUAGAAGCAAAGAAAUGAUGAAUGUACAAUGUAUUUGCUUUGUGAUGGCUCAACAAAGCUCAGCCAAGUGGAGGAGCCGGUGAGGUCACCCUGAAAGUAAGAAAAACUCAAGGUUAUGUGAAGUGCAUUUGUGGAUUUCAUCAUUUCUGCAAACUGGUUUUGUCUUUUAGUCUAAUUAAGUACCCAUACUCUGAAGAACUGACUAAACACGAGCUCUGUAAGAACAAAUGCCUUUUUUUCUGGCUCAUGUAUGGUUUUAUCCGAGUUGUUUUAUGGCCACAUUUCUACAUUUUAUUGUACAAAGUUGUUUCAUUUUACAUAAUAUUUAAUUAAAGUAUUUCUUGUCUGUGACCAGUUUCUCCCUGCAAUCUUAUUUUUGUCUUUUCUCGCUCUAAAAGCAACCAUGCAUUCAAAAU
Molecule: long non-coding RNA, 3406 nt
Organism: Cyprinus carpio carpio
Lineage: Eukaryota; Metazoa; Chordata; Actinopteri; Cypriniformes; Cyprinidae
Source: Ensembl